This 233-nucleotide ribosomal RNA is filed under the name uncultured bacterium. RNAcentral's name for it is "partial 16S ribosomal RNA". It matches the Rfam family "Bacterial small subunit ribosomal RNA", at positions 102 to 334 of the family's 1533-position model. The record is from RNAcentral.
CACGGGUGAGUAACACGUAUCCAACCUGCCGUCUACUCUUGGCCAGCCUUCUGAAAGGAAGAUUAAUACAAGAUGGCAUCAUGAGUCCACAUGUUCACAUGAUUAAAGGUAUUCCGGUAGACGAUGGGGAUGCGUUCCAUUAGAUAGUAGGCGGGGUAACGGCCCACCUAGUCUUCGAUGGAUAGGGGUUCUGAGAGGAAGGUCCCCCACAUUGGAACUGAGACACGGUCCAA